GGUAUGUUAGCUCAGAGGUCUAGAGCAUCGUGCUUAUAGUCGUAUCUUUGACGUCUAUACUUACGUCACACCGUUCCAAGCAACGCGAUGGUCACGGGUUCAAACCCCGUACGUACCA
This 118-nucleotide transfer RNA is filed under the name Brettanomyces bruxellensis. RNAcentral describes it as "Dekkera bruxellensis tRNA". It matches the Rfam family "tRNA". Rfam says of the family: Transfer RNA (tRNA) molecules are approximately 80 nucleotides in length. Their secondary structure includes four short double-helical elements and three loops (D, anti-codon, and T loops). The record is from Rfam by way of RNAcentral. RNAcentral also lists the same sequence under 1 other name. Lineage: Eukaryota; Fungi; Ascomycota; Pichiomycetes; Pichiales; Pichiaceae.